GGAGGUGCAAGCGUUAUCCGGAUUCACUGGGUUAAAGGUGCGUAGGUGGGCAAGUAAGUCAGUGGUGAAAUCUCCGGGCUUAACCCGGAAACUGCCAUUGAUACUAUUUGUCUUGAAUACUGUGGAGGUCAGCGGAAUAUGUCAUGUAGCGGUGAAAUGCUUAGAUAUGACAUAGAACACCAAUUGCGAAGGCAGCUGGCUACACAAAUAUUGACACUGAGGCACGAAAGCGUGGGGAUCAAACAGGAUUAGAUACCCUGGUAGUCCACGCCCUAAACUAUGGAUACUCGACAUUUGCGAUAAACUGCAAGUGUCUGAGCGAAAGCAUUAAGUAUCCCACCUGGGAAGUACGAUCGCAAGAUUG
RNAcentral lists this ribosomal RNA (364 nucleotides) under uncultured organism. RNAcentral's name for it is "bacterial SSU rRNA". It matches the Rfam family "Bacterial small subunit ribosomal RNA", at positions 528 to 896 of the family's 1533-position model. The record is from RNAcentral.